Cucumis sativus (cucumber) is the source of this 356-nucleotide non-coding RNA. The record is from Rfam. Lineage: Eukaryota; Viridiplantae; Streptophyta; Magnoliopsida; Cucurbitales; Cucurbitaceae.
UUUCCAACAAGUUAAAUGGAUAUCUCUACUUGUGGGCAAGCUCUAUCGGGUGAAGCUUAUGGUUAGAAGCAUCAGUGGCACAAUUUCUCCAACCUAUCAUCAAACUUUAAACAAGUAGGACAACACGAUUGGUGAUGUGGGAUGAACUAAAAGUCAGGUUAUAGUUCCUAAUUACACCUGAACUAUAUCCCCAAAGGAUGUUGGUCUAAGGCACUAGGACGAUGGUCAUGAAGUCAAAAUCCCAUAUGAGAAAUGUGUACAACUCACUUAUCGAUAAACUAGCUUUAGAAAUAGAUUGCGCUGAAGUGCGUGACAUAUACUUGAUCAUGGAGGCAAGAGUCAUGUAAACCCCAAAG